GUGUAUCAUAACUUUUUGUGGCAUAGAUAUCUGCAAUAAAAGAGUGAUAGCACAGCAAUCCCUUUCAUUUCAGAGUGCCUUUGCCUCAAAGAAAGCAAGAAGAACCAUAUUAAAGCGUAGCUUUACAAUGACAAAAGCAAAGCUUCUUAGUGAGAAUUAAGGGAUAUAUUUGAGUUAUCCUUCAAAAACAAUUUGCAGGGAGGGGGGAGAGAG
RNAcentral lists this unclassified non-coding RNA (213 nucleotides) under Hevea brasiliensis (rubber tree). The record is from RNAcentral. Lineage: Eukaryota; Viridiplantae; Streptophyta; Magnoliopsida; Malpighiales; Euphorbiaceae.